GAGUUUGAUCCUGGCUCAGAUUGAACGCUGGCGGCAGGCCUAACACAUGCAAGUCGAGCGGAUGAAGGGAGCUUGCUCCUGGAUUCAGCGGCGGACGGGUGAGUAAUGCCUAGGAAUCUGCCUGGUAGUGGGGGAUAACGUCCGGAAACGGGCGCUAAUACCGCAUACGUCCUGAGGGAGAAAGUGGGGGAUCUUCGGACCUCACGCUAUCAGACGAGCCUAGGUCGGAUUAGCUAGUUGGUGGGGUAAAGGCCUACCAAGGCGACGAUCCGUAACUGGUCUGAGAGGAUGAUCAGUCACACUGGAACUGAGACACGGUCCAGACUCCUACGGGAGGCAGCAGUGGGGAAUAUUGGACAAUGGGCGAAAGCCUGAUCCAGCCAUGCCGCGUGUGUGAAGAAGGUCUUCGGAUUGUAAAGCACUUUAAGUUGGGAGGAAGGGCAGUAAGUUAAUACCUUGCUGUUUUGACGUUACCAACAGAAUAAGCACCGGCUAACUUCGUGCCAGCAGCGCCGU
This 516-nucleotide ribosomal RNA is filed under the name uncultured microorganism. Its description in RNAcentral is "bacterial SSU rRNA". It matches the Rfam family "Bacterial small subunit ribosomal RNA", at positions 9 to 521 of the family's 1533-position model. The record is from RNAcentral.